AGUGUGCACUAUGGGGGCCGUUUCAAACUGGUGGAAUUGGAUGCUGUGAUCAGCCAUAUGCUGCAAAAACUAUUCUUUUGUCAGCAUGUCUGUGUGGAAUUGCUUCAGGAGCUGGAAACAUUCAAAGCAACAACGUUCAGUGCUGAAUGCUCAAGACUGUUGAUGUGAAAGGGACUUUUGGUCUAGUUCCAUACUUCGCAAGCACUUCAUAUAUAAGUUGCUCUGUCCAGCUCUUGUCCAAUAGUUCUGCUGUCGCUUUGGAGGGAUUUGGUCAGACCCCAGAGAAGUCAAGAGAGAACAAAGCUGACAUAAAAACCCCGCUGACUGUGCAGGUCAAGUGGAAGAUAAAGUUACUUUUAUCAGUUCAGAGUAUGCAUAGCAUCAAUAUUGCAUUUGUAUAAGCACUUAGCUGCUGCGUGCUAUAAGUUACCACCCUAACUCUGCCUGAAGACUUUCAUUAUUGCUCUUCACAAACUUUCUGUAUAUAGUCUCCUUCUGGAAACCCUAUUCAAUUGCCUUUUCAAUGAUCCAGAUAUAUUUCUCCAGAAAACGUGGCGUAUGCAGGAGAGGAGGAUAAUGUACAUGGCAACAUUAGCUCGGGACAACCAUCAACUGUUCAGAUUUUGCAAGUGACCUGACUCUGACCCCUUUGGGAGACUAAAGAGGCCUGAAUGUAUGUUUUACGUUUCCAUCUUCAUUCUCGGCUCACUUCUGCAGAAAGGCUCAAAGUUACGGGGAAGACGAUAAAGGCAAAAUUCCCGACUACAGCAAAGACAUAUUGGAAAUCUUGCUGGAGAGCCUAUGAUUUGGGCAAUUGUCUCAUGACUGCUUUUGCUAACGGAGCAUGUUACUUCCAGCAGCCCUAGCUUUGGAAAGGAGUUGUGAUUCAGGGCCUAGAAGCUGCUAGGCUCCUCUUGCGCUGUGGAAAUACACAGCACAGUUACAGCAAAUCUUCCUCCCUCUGCGGGGAAAUUCCAUCUGGGGAAGAGCAUGACCCAAAGCAUUUAAGUUUAAACUCUGACAUGGCUUAUCUUUCCUGUGAAAGAUAACCUUUGGCUGUGAAGACCCAGGAAAGUGCUCUCUGCAGGAGUCAUCCAGCAGAAAUCCUCAAGUUUAGCUUGCCUCCCUCUGAGUUUUGAAGACUGCAACUUUAAUUAGGAGGUGCCUUUGAUGGGAUCCACUAACACCUUUCCUCCCGGAGGACAGAAGUCAGACUUGUGGCUAGUGGGAGAUUGACUGUGAAAGCCGAGAGACUCCAACUAUAUCCUAGCUGAAGGUUUUACACUGGAAAACCAUAAAGAAGGGGACAGUGUCAUCAUGAAUUUAAAACUAUUUGCAACGCUGACAAUAUGACAAUGACAGAGGAGUGCCCUGCAGGGACAAGCUAGUCCAUCCACUGUUCCCAUUAUAGAAAUUGCC
This is a long non-coding RNA of Struthio camelus australis, 1419 nucleotides long. RefSeq lists it as uncharacterized. The record is from RefSeq and is a predicted model, not a curated record. Lineage: Eukaryota; Metazoa; Chordata; Aves; Struthioniformes; Struthionidae.